RNAcentral lists this ribosomal RNA (432 nucleotides) under uncultured bacterium. RNAcentral's name for it is "partial 16S ribosomal RNA". It matches the Rfam family "Bacterial small subunit ribosomal RNA", at positions 29 to 506 of the family's 1533-position model. The record is from RNAcentral.
AACGAACGCUGGCGGCAGGCUUAACACAUGCAAGUCGAGCGCAUCCUUCGGGGUGAGCGGCGGACGGGUGAGUAACGCGUGGGAACGUGCCCUCUUCUACGGAAUAGCCUCGGGAAACUGAGAGUAAUGCCGUAUACGCCCGCAAGGGGAAAGAUUUAUCGGAGGAGGAUCGGCCCGCGUUGGAUUAGGUAGUUGGUGGGGUAACGGCCUACCAAGCCGACGAUCCAUAGCUGGUUUGAGAGGAUGAUCAGCCACACUGGGACUGAGACACGGCCCAGACCCCUACGGGGGGCAGCAGGGGGGAAUCUUGGAAAAUGGGGGCAACCCGGCUCCACCCGUGCCGGGUGAUCGAUGAAGGCCUUGGGGUUGAAAAGAUCUUUCAGCGGGGAAGAUAAGGCCGGUACCAGCAAAAGAAGCCCCGGCUAACUCCGU